This 530-nucleotide ribosomal RNA is filed under the name uncultured fungus. RNAcentral describes it as "eukaryotic LSU rRNA". The stretch from base 175 to 328 matches the Rfam family "5.8S ribosomal RNA". The record is from RNAcentral. Lineage: Eukaryota; Fungi.
AAUGAGUUAGGGUCUCCGAGGCCCGACCUCCAACCCUUUGUAUAAUUAUUACGUUGCUUUGACGGGCCCGUCUUCAACUGGACCGCCGGGGUUUAACCUCUGGCCAGCGCCUGUCAAUAGCCUUCAAUAAAUUCUUUUAACCAUGUUAAAUCUGAAAAUAGUUAAAUAAACUAAAACUUUCAACAACGGAUCUCUUGGUUCUGGCAUCGAUGAAGAACGCAGCGAAAUGCGAUAAGUAAUGCGAAUUGCAGAAUUCAGUGAGUCAUCGAAUCUUUGAACGCACAUUGCGCCCUUUAGUAUUCUGAAGGGCAUGCCUGUUCGAGCGUCAUUAUCACUAUUCAAGCCUGGCUUGCUGUUGGACCUCUUGUCGUUAAAAGACAGGCCCCAAAGAUAAUGACGGCGUCAGUUGGACCCUAGAUGCAACGAGCUCUAACCAGCACGUAUCUUAGUUGGCCCCUUUGACCCGGUCUUUUUUAACCACUUUAUAAAAGGUUGACCUCGGAUCAGGUAGGAAUACCCGCUGAACUUAA